AAACAACAACAAAACCCCCGUUCUUCGGACGUGCGAAGAAAUAAAACCUGCGACUCGGAUUAUGUUCUGUUUCCCCGCUUUGCCCUGGAGGCAUGGCUCUCUUCACACGUAUUUCAUACACAUGGGAAGUGAUAGUGAAUAGGGUAGUCGCGACAUCCCGUGGGAUACCUCCCAAGCUGGAGCAGCAGGAGAUGGAUAGGUUUUUUCCCCUUCCCCACCGUCCGUCUGCGCACCAUGUGGAUGUAGGACCCCUGCUUGGAGGUAAACCGGGCAGCGUCAGAAUAUUCCGAGAUAGAAGGGACUUGUGAGGGACUCCCCCGCCCCGCGUCUCCUUUCCCUCCCAAAUGGCAGGCAGAAGAUGAUGCAAAAGUAUGUACUUAUUUGCUGGCAUGACCAUCGACGCAUAGGAGAGGAUCAAGCAGAGAAAAGGGACAGGCAGCUGUUUGCUUGAAGCAAAGGCCUCCAAAGCCAGUUACAUCAGUCAAGGUUGGAUAGAGUAAGCCCAAGGCCAUCCCAUGAGCUUCAUGUCUGGGCAAGAUUUGGACCUGAGCAUCUCACAAUCAAAUAUGUGAUAAGACAGCUUUUGAAGGUGAUGCUGUACGAUCACUGCCUAGUGUCGAUAUUGGACUAGACGAGAGCCAAAAACUGCAACUGAAUUCAGUUAAGAUGGCAAUCCUGCUGUUCAGAGUGUCCCAAUGCUCUAGCGCAACAGCACUGACACCAAGACUUUAAAAUAAGGUAAGAAAUAGCAGUGUUUGCAGAGAUCCAGCCCUUCCAGUGUUUU
Non-coding RNA from Pogona vitticeps (central bearded dragon), 784 nucleotides. NCBI's taxonomy places the organism in Eukaryota, Metazoa, Chordata, Lepidosauria, Squamata, Agamidae. The record is from RefSeq and is a predicted model, not a curated record.